UAAAGUGAAAAGGAAUAUUUUCUCCGAUAACUUUCUUGUUUUCUCCUUUGGAUUCCCUUUCUUUCAUCCCUUUCUCCAUAUUAAUUUUUCAGUAAGGUUGUAUUUUAAUCUUUUCAAAAGUAACACACGGUUGUAAUGGAGAUUCCUAAUCGCAUCGCCAGUUUGCUCCGGCUCCACCAAACCAAUCGCCGAUCAUUGGACAAAAAAAAAUACCCACCAGAUCUCUGGCGUGCUCGGUAACAUAGAGUAAGAGCAAGUAAAAAAAACUGUUCCGGCGGCGGUUACAUCAACCGCUGUUGACGGUUAAGACAGAUCUCAGAAAGAAGGCGAAGAACACGACGACGUUCCACGCACCUUCAAACGCCAGAGACUAUCUGACGAAAUCGAUGAACAACAAGAGAGUAACCGCUGGUCAAAACCGUCAUCUCCAGCGACGGUGAAGCAGUCGGAGCGUCGCCGGACUGGUCACGGUUGGCGGUUUUAUGGAUUGAAUUUUCUGUUUUGUUCAGUUACUUAUGGCGGCAGUGAGCGCCGGAUUGUAAGAAAAAAAACUGUUAUUUUCGAUUUCGUUUUUGGAUAACAGGGCAUCCUAAUAUGUUCUAAAGUUCAAAAGGAAAACCUAUGUGUUGUGAUCCAAAGAAUCAAAUUAAGUCCAAUUUGAAAAUAUUUGAAAAAAACAUGUGGAGAUUUUGAUGGCGUACCCGGAUUGUGAU
Molecule: long non-coding RNA, 713 nt
Filed under: Helianthus annuus (common sunflower)
Lineage: Eukaryota; Viridiplantae; Streptophyta; Magnoliopsida; Asterales; Asteraceae
Description: sRNA HanXRQr2_Chr13g0591641
Source: RNAcentral